ACUCCUACGGGAGGCAGCAGUGGGGAAUAUUGCACAAUGGGCGCAAGCCUGAUGCAGCGACGCCGCGUGGGGGAUGAAGGCCUUCGGGUUGUAAACUCCUUUCGCUAGGGACGAAGCUUUUUUGUGACGGUACCUAGAUAAGAAGCACCGGCUAACUACGUGCCAGCAGCCGCGGUAAUACGUAGGGUGCGAGCGUUGUCCGGAAUUACUGGGCGUAAAGGGCUCGUAGGUGGUUUGUCGCGUCGUCUGUGAAAUUCUGGGGCUUAACUCCGGGCGUGCAGGCGAUACGGGCAUAACUUGAGUGCUGUAGGGGUAACUGGAAUUCCUGGUGUAGCGGUGAAAUGCGCAGAUAUCAGGAGGAACACCGAUGGCGAAGGCAGGUUACUGGGCAGUUACUGACGCUGAGGAGCGAAAGCAUGGGUAGCGAACAGGAUUAGAAACCCUGGUAGUCCCAUG
This 456-nucleotide ribosomal RNA is filed under the name uncultured organism. RNAcentral's name for it is "partial 16S ribosomal RNA". It matches the Rfam family "Bacterial small subunit ribosomal RNA", at positions 335 to 799 of the family's 1533-position model. The record is from RNAcentral.